Small nucleolar RNA from Arabidopsis lyrata subsp. lyrata, 108 nucleotides. It matches the Rfam family "Plant small nucleolar RNA R71". Rfam says of the family: R71 is a member of the C/D box family of snoRNAs containing the C (UGAUGA) and D (CUGA) box motifs. Multiple nearly identical copies of this snoRNA have been identified in Arabidopsis, and it is thought to function as a 2'-O-ribose methylation guide for 18S ribosomal RNA. The record is from Rfam. NCBI's taxonomy places the organism in Eukaryota, Viridiplantae, Streptophyta, Magnoliopsida, Brassicales, Brassicaceae.
AAACCGUGAUGAGGACAUUGAUUCUGAUAUCCUCUGAAACGCUCACAUGCUUCACAGAAAGUCUCAGCAUUCUUCUGAGUGAAGCCAGAAAGAUUCUGGGCCAAGACU